UAGGGAAUCUUCGGCAAUGGGGGCAACCCUGACCGAGCAACGCCGCGUGAGUGAAGAAGGUUUUCGCAUCGUAAAGCUCUGUUGUAAGAGAAGAACGUGUGUGAGAGUGGAAAGUUCACACAGUGACGGUAACUUACCAGAAAGGGACGGCUAACUACGUGCCAGCAGCCGCGGUAAUACGUAGGUCCCGAGCGUUGUCCGGAUUUAUUGGGCGUAAAGCGAGCGCAGGCGGUUUAAUAAGUCUGAAGUUAAAGGCAGUGGCUUAACCAUUGUUCGCUUUGGAAACUGUUAAACUUGAGUGCAGAAGGGGAGAGUGGAAUUCCAUGUGUAGCGGUGAAAUGCGUAGAUAUAUGGAGGAACACCGGUGGCGAAAGCGGCUCUCUGGUCUGUAACUGACGCUGAGGCUCGAAAGCGUGGGGAGCAAACAGG
RNAcentral lists this ribosomal RNA (429 nucleotides) under bacterium. RNAcentral describes it as "partial 16S ribosomal RNA". It matches the Rfam family "Bacterial small subunit ribosomal RNA", at positions 355 to 776 of the family's 1533-position model. The record is from RNAcentral.